Molecule: long non-coding RNA, 665 nt
Filed under: Rattus norvegicus (Norway rat)
Lineage: Eukaryota; Metazoa; Chordata; Mammalia; Rodentia; Muridae
Description: long non-coding RNA NONRATT018891
Source: RNAcentral
AGAACAGAGGUGGUAGUGGUCAACUCCAGCUGGGUCCAGCUUUGGGGACUUUCCUCCCUCCCUAGAGAGCAUACACUGAAGGGUGUCACCUCCCCCCUACUGACCUGUGCAGGUUCAGGGGUUCUUGGUCCCUAUACAUAUUCUUGCACCUGAUGUACUUACUUCAACAGACUGAAUUCUGGGCUAAAUGGAGUUUCACGAAAGCACGCCCUGUCCUGGAAGUGCCCAUCCUGUGGGAGGCACAAGCAGGGGAAAGAAGGAAGAGGAGGAACGUAAGCCGGGUUCCCCAUCAGGAUCAGGGCACUGCUGUCGACGCCAGGCGCUCUUUAGAAACGUCUCAGCCAUUCUUACUUCCCGGCCUGCUCUAAUUGGGCUUUUUCACUGCUUUACCUCUGUGUCCCAUCUGAAUUCCCGUUUGAAAGCAGAAGAAUGGAGACAGCUGACAGGGUCGAGACCGGAGGAAACCAGAGACCUCCCCAUAGCACACAGGCUGGUACGCCACCUUCCCGUGGUUCUGGGGUGGGGGGUGGAUUUCUUUCUAACAUCAAAACCUCUAACUCUGCCUGACAGAGGACAACGCCCAUGAAGAGAAGGGUGGGACUGCCCAGUUCCAGCCUAACAAAGGAGGGAUUUAAUGCGUUGCAAGGCAACAAGAAAAAAAAAAA